CAGUGGGGAAUAUUGCACAAUGGGGGAAACCCUGAUGCAGCCAUGCCGCGUGUGUGAAGAAGGCCUUCGGGUUGUAAAGCACUUUCAGUAGGGAGGAAGGUUAGUGUAGUUAACACCUGCACUUAUUUUGACGUUACCUACAGAAGAAGCACCGGCUAACUCCGUGCCAGCAGCCGCGGUAAUACGGAGGGUGCGAGCGUUAAUCGGAAUUACUGGGCGUAAAGCGCAUGCAGGCGGCCUGUUAAGUCAGAUGUGAAAGCCCGGGGCUUAACCUCGGAAUUGCAUUUGAAACUGGCAGGCUAGAGUCUUGUAGAGGGGGUAGAAUUUCAGGUGUAGCGGUGAAAUGCGUAGAGAUCUGAAGGAAUACCAGUGGCGAAGGCGGCCCCCUGGACAAAGACUGACGCUCAGAUGCGAAAGCGUGGGGAGCAAACAGGAUUAGAUACCCUGGUAG
Molecule: ribosomal RNA, 451 nt
Filed under: uncultured bacterium
Lineage: Bacteria
Description: bacterial SSU rRNA
Rfam family: Bacterial small subunit ribosomal RNA
Source: RNAcentral